CCUACGGGUGGCAGCAGUGGGGAAUAUUGCACAAUGGGGGAAACCCUGAUGCAGCGACGCCGCGUGAGUGAAGAAGUAUCUCCGUAUGUAAAGCUCUAUCAACAGGGAAGAAAAUGACGGUACCUGACUAAGAAGCCCCGGCUAACUACGUGCCAGCAGCCGCGGUAAUACGGAGGGGGCAAGCGUUAUCCGGAUUUACUGGGUGUAAAGGGAGCGUAGACGGUGAUGCAAGUCUGCAGUGAACGGCCGGGGCUCAACUCCGGGACUGCUUUGGGAACUGUGUGACUGGAGUGCAGGGGAGGCAGGCGGAAUUCCUGGUGUAGCGGUGAAAUGCGUAGAUAUGAGGAAGAACACCGGUGGCGAAGGCGGCUUGCUGGACCGUAACUGACGUUGAUGCUCGAAAGCGCGGGUAGCAAACAGGAUUAGAUACCCGAGUAGUC
RNAcentral lists this ribosomal RNA (440 nucleotides) under uncultured bacterium. RNAcentral describes it as "partial 16S ribosomal RNA". It matches the Rfam family "Bacterial small subunit ribosomal RNA", at positions 338 to 795 of the family's 1533-position model. The record is from RNAcentral.